This 457-nucleotide ribosomal RNA is filed under the name uncultured bacterium. RNAcentral describes it as "bacterial SSU rRNA". It matches the Rfam family "Bacterial small subunit ribosomal RNA", at positions 28 to 507 of the family's 1533-position model. The record is from RNAcentral.
GAUUAACGCUGGCGGCAUGCCUUACACAUGCAAGUCGAACGGUAGCGCGGGGCAACCUGGCGACGAGUGGCGAACGGGUGAGUAAAGCAUCGGAACGUGCCCUGGAAUGGGGGAUAACGUAGCGAAAGUUACGCUAAUACCGCAUAUACUGUGAGCAGGAAAGCAGGGGAUCGCAAGACCUUGCGUUCGAGGAGCGGCCGAUGUCGGAUUAGCUAGUUGGUGGGGUAAAGGCCUACCAAGGCGACGAUCAGUGGCUGGUCUGAGAGGAUGAUCAGCCACACUGGGACUGAGACACGGCCCAGACUCCUACGGGAGGCAGCAGUGGGGAAUAUUGGACAAUGGGCGCAAGCCUGAUCCAGCCAUGCCGCGUGAGUGAUGACGGCCUUAGGGUUGUAAAGCUCUUUUACCCGGGAAGAUAAUGACGGUACCGGGAGAAUAAGCCCCGGCUAACUUCGUG